This 432-nucleotide ribosomal RNA is filed under the name uncultured bacterium. Its description in RNAcentral is "bacterial SSU rRNA". It matches the Rfam family "Bacterial small subunit ribosomal RNA", at positions 44 to 524 of the family's 1533-position model. The record is from RNAcentral.
AGGCCUAACACAUGCAAGUCGAGCGCCUCGCAAGAGGAGCGGCAGACGGGUGAGUAACGCGUGGGAAUCUACCUAUCUCUACGGAACAACUUCGGGAAACUGAAGCUAAUACCGUAUACGCCCUUAGGGGGAAAGAUUUAUCGGGGAUGGAUGAGCCCGCGUUGGAUUAGCUAGUUGGUGGGGUAAUGGCCUACCAAGGCGACGAUCCAUAGCUGGUCUGAGAGGAUGAUCAGCCACACUGGGACUGAGACACGGCCCAGACUCCUACGGGAGGCAGCAGUGGGGAAUAUUGGACAAUGGGGGCAACCCUGAUCCAGCCAUGCCGCGUGAGUGAUGAAGGCCCUAGGGUUGUAAAGCUCUUUCACCGGUGAAGAUAAUGACGGUAACCGGAGAAGAAGCCCCGGCUAACUUCGUGCCAGCAGCCGCGGUAAU